Molecule: ribosomal RNA, 377 nt
Filed under: uncultured eukaryote
Lineage: Eukaryota
Description: partial 18S ribosomal RNA
Rfam family: Eukaryotic small subunit ribosomal RNA
Source: RNAcentral
CAAUAGCGUAUAUUAAAGUUGUUGCAGUUAAAAAGCUCGUAGUUGGAUUUCGGGGCAGCCUGGCUGGUCCGCCGCAAGGCGAGUACUGGUCAGCCGCCCUUCCUCUCGGAAGCCCCGACUGCUCUUUAUUGCAGUGGUCGGGUAGUUCGGGACGUUUACUUUGAAAAAAUUAGAGUGUUCAAGGCAGGCCUACGCCUGAAUACAUUAGCAUGGAAUAAUGGAAGAGGACCUCGGUCCUAUUUUGUUGGUUUCCAGGACCGAAGUAAUGAUUAAGAGGGACAGUUGGGGGCAUUCGUAUUUAAUUGUCAGAGGUGAAAUUCUCGGAUUUAUGAAAGACGAACAACUGCGAAAGCAUUUGCCAAGGAUGUUUUCAUUAA